Molecule: long non-coding RNA, 1825 nt
Organism: Carassius gibelio (silver crucian carp)
Lineage: Eukaryota; Metazoa; Chordata; Actinopteri; Cypriniformes; Cyprinidae
Exons: 2
Source: RefSeq, a predicted model, not a curated record
UCCAAGAAUAGAAUGCAAAAGAUUUUAAUACAUAUUAUAUACAAUGCUUAUGUCUAAAAUGUCACAUGUAGAAUAAUAAUGAAAAGAAAAAUUUAAAAUAAUGAAGUCUUUAAAAAUGCAUGAGAAAUUUAUUUUAGAAACAUUAUUUUAGAUUUUUACAACGCAUUUAUUUUCUUGCUUAAUUGUGUUCUAAUAAUGUGCACCACAAAUGCUGCCUAGUUAGGCACCUCAGUAGGGUUUGAGACGCAGCCAGUGUUUACGAAUGUUUCAAAAUCUCAUCAACAGAGUGCCAACCAACGCAAGCAUUCCUGAUCUCAGGAAUGUCUGUAAACUGCGCGACCACCCUCUCGUUACAGGAAAGACGAAGCGCGUGAUGCGAGAGAACAGGACAGUGAAGAGUUAACCAUUACCGCUGUCUUUGGGGAGAUGGUGAUGUAAACCCUAAACCAUGUGACACUUUAAUAAAUUCAUAGCGCCGACAGAAACAAACACACACUGUUCCAUCGACAGCCGAACAAAACAGCAUUCUCCACAUCUAAACAAAGAUUGCAGAGGGGAAAGAGUCAAGCGAGAGCGCGCCCAGAGAGCGGAGAGGAUGUGCUGUCUGCCGGUCGAGCAGACUUUAGACGCGCUCGGAGAUCCCGUUUGCGCGCACCGACUGCGCUGGAUCGGAGACCAGCUGGAGAAGAGAUGGGCUGCAAACGACAAAAGCGCCGACGGUGGAAGACGAAGCGGCGGGGAAAGCAUCAUCAAAAGCUUCCACAUAGUGUGCACAGUCAUUCAAGUAACGCUUCUGGUGUUUUUAGUCAAAAAGCGACACCUGUAGGUGAGACGAGGCUCUGCUGAUCUACAGCAGCAACAGCAACAGAUGAAUCUUUGGAUUCUCCUGGGAUGAUCCGCUCCAGAUUUAGCUGAGAAGAAUAGGUGCCGGUCACGUCUGUCUCAUCCAUGUAGAUCACAGCAUUUACAGUAGUGUUGUAACGGAAACACCAGAUACAUCUGUGCUGUACAUUCCCAGCGUGCUGAUAGCUUUUCAUAACGACCAAUGCUUCAUCCCGAAGUCUUCUCGAUUACCGAAACACUGCGAGCCGAUCUCAUUUGGUACACAUUUGCUUGGUUAGAAGUCUUGAGGUCAGUGCAGACAAACCCCGCAGUGUCCCCUGGGAAACCUUUCAAAAUAAAAGGCUGAUGUCAUUGUCCCUUGGCGUCUGCAAGGACAUUUUUCUACCACUAUGACAAUAGGAGCCUUGCCUCAACUUCGGAGAGCUUACAGUUGAGUUUUAGUCAUUGUUGGUAAAAGUUGAGAGGGUGCUAUAGAUAUGCAAAAGCUGAUUAAAACACGAUCAAUCGAGGUCAGUCUUCAGAGGAGAGCUUCCAAAAACACUGCUACCAAAACCUCUCCUCUGCAUGACGCACUGUAAGAUUUAGUUAUAAGCUACUGUAAGUGACUAUGCCAUUCGCUAUCUGAGCUGUGACUUUGUUUUGUUUUUGUUGUUUUUAAUGAGAUAUUUAUUGUUCUGAACACUGUACUCUUCUCAAUGGAAAGCAUAUUUAUACUGUAGAAUGAUUUGAAGUGUAUUUGACCUGGAAGACAAAUCAUUUUUUAGUCUUUUUAUAAAGGGCUUCUUGCUUGAUUGUUUGUGUCAGUGUUAAUACAGAAAUGUGACAUGAAUGAGAUUUGACGCGAAAUGUGACUCAAAGGGCAUGCUACUGAUGUUUACAUAAGCUACAAUCUUUUACUACUGUGUGUUUUAAACAUGUUUUACCUCUGCUAUUUUGAUAUUGUGAUUUUUGUCAUUUAUGGAAAUAAAAGGGUUUACAUAUA